RNAcentral lists this long non-coding RNA (316 nucleotides) under Equus caballus (horse). Its description in RNAcentral is "lncRNA (ENSECAG00000054564.1)". Lineage: Eukaryota; Metazoa; Chordata; Mammalia; Perissodactyla; Equidae. The record is from RNAcentral.
AUUCAGCUGUUCUCUAACGCCCUCCAUUUCUCAAGGAGUGCGCGGUCUGUUUCCUCCGCCAGCAGCAAGUGCGAACAGCCCCCACAGGCUCUGCUAAAGAGCCCGCCGCAUUUUCACAGGCGGAACGGUCACGGGGGAGUCCUGCAGCGCCCCUUCUCCCACUCCGCAGAGCCAACGUCAGGCGCUGUCUGGGAGCCACCCAACUAGGAGAGUCCUCACGGCGCUGAAAAGCUGUCCUCCACACUGGAGCCCUGUCUGUGGGUUGCUGAUUUCACCUGUGAUUUCACUUCUGCUGAGUCACCUUGCUGCUUCUGGC